AACGUAGGAGGCGAGCGUUAUCCGGAUUUACUGGGCGUAAAGCGCACGCAGGUGGCUGUGUAAGUCGGACAUGAAAGCUCCUGGCUUAACUGGGAGAGGUGGUUCGAAACUGCAUGGCUUGAGGUUGGGAGAGGGACGUGGAAUUCCCGGUGUAGUGGUGGAAUGCGUAGAUAUCGGGAGGAACACCAGUGGCGCAAGCGGCGUCCUGGCCCACACCUGACGCUGAUGUGCGAAAGCGUGGGGAG
This 245-nucleotide ribosomal RNA is filed under the name uncultured bacterium. RNAcentral's name for it is "partial 16S ribosomal RNA". It matches the Rfam family "Bacterial small subunit ribosomal RNA", at positions 524 to 768 of the family's 1533-position model. The record is from RNAcentral.